GAAACUUUUCUUGAUUAUCAGUUUUAUUUUGCCUGCUUUGUUUGUCACUCAAGGGGGGGAAAAAGAGUACUUGCAAAGAUUAAAGAAGAGAAGGCCGAGUAGAGACUUCAGUGUGUGCGACUCCCAGUGAGAGAGAAACAAGAGGAUGUUAGGAAAAGAAGAAUCGAACACGGUGUUGACGUUGCUCAAAGCCGGAGAUCAUCGGCCCUUCGAUCAGAUCGUCGCCGACUUCGCCUCCAGCUUCCCUCCCCCUCGCCAAUUUUCUGCUUGCAUCUCUCUCGCCUUAAUCCUUGACGGAAAACUUCUUAAACCAGCACAGAGAUUAGUUGCUUUUGCAAUUCUUCAGCAGGUUUAUUCCUCGCAGGAGCCUUCAUCAAACCCGUUCAUUUCGUUGCUAGUAAAUGCAGCCUGUGACGAAGAAGCUGAACCAUGUGAAAGAGCUUUUAUUCUUCAGUUGUUGGGCUCAGCCAGCUCAACCAGUAGCAGAGAGGUUCUUAAGCAAUCAGCAACAGAUUACAUGAAAAUGUUUGAUCCUUCACAACAUUCUUUCCCCCAACGAGAGCAGUUGCAACAGCAAUAUGGUAGCAAAGCUCUACCAGAACAGCUUCAUUGCUUGUUCAGGAACAAUUACGUGAAAAAUAGCAUUCCUGACCCUGAUGUACCUCGUGGCUGUGAUAGCAAUUCAUCAGAGUUUGAUCUCCCUGGAUCUAAACCUAAGAUUGGAUCUGGGGAUGUUGAUGAGACGAUAACUGGAUUGUUAUCAAAUUUGUCAUUGGAAGGAUUAGGACCUCAAUGGAUCAGGCCUUAUCCUCCCAGGCUUCCUGUAUUAGAUGGAGAGCUAGUGUGGCUAAACCCUGAUUACAAUUAUGAGCUUCUAUGGGAUCAUGGGAUGUGUGCCGAUACUAGCAGAGGAGCUGCAGUCAGGGAUUUGAUUGCAAAAGCCCUAAAAGGUCCACUUGCACCUGCUCAACAAGAGCAAGUACUAUUGGAGUUGGCAAAUGACCCAAAGCUUGUCUACCAUUGUGGGUUGACACCAAGGAAGCUUCCAGAACUUGUGGAGAACAAUCCUAUUAUUGCAGUUGAAGUUCUGGUUAAGCUGGUCAAUUCACCAGAGAUUGCAGAAUAUUUUACCGUUCUUGUUAAUAUGGAGAUGAGUCUUCAUUCAAUGGAAGUUGUUAACAGGCUCACUCAAGCAGUUGAAUUGCCAACCGAAUUCAUACAUAUGUACAUCACCAAUUGUAUAUCUUCCUGCGAGAACAUCAAGGAGGCAGGAGUUACUUGGGUUACCAUGCUAUUCUUGAAUUGGUUUGUCACCCAUUUAUCGUCCCAAUUUCAGAUUGGUGUUGUGAUGGAGGAAACUUGGAUAGAUAUAUGCAAAACCGACUUGUAAGACUUGUCUGUGUUUUCCUACAGAGCUUGAUCCGGAAUAAGAUCAUAAAUGUCCAUGAUCUCUUCAUUGAAGUACAAGCAUUUUGUAUUGAGUUCUCAAGGAUUAGAGAGGCCGCAGGGCUGUUUAGGCUUCUGAAGACUUUGGAGUAGAAGCUUGCCUUAUUCACCCAAUUCCUUAGAUAAAGUUUUAUUUGAUGUAACAUGUGUACAUGUGUUUUGAUUUUUUUUUUUCUCUUGUUUCUAUUCCGUUCUUCCUGAAUAGUUAGCACCCAAAUGUGGGUCAUUGUAUCCUUGGAUCAGAAAAGUUAUCAUUAUAAAGUUUAUUUCGCAUUUAGCACAU
Molecule: RNA transcript, 1729 nt
Organism: Nicotiana tabacum (common tobacco)
Lineage: Eukaryota; Viridiplantae; Streptophyta; Magnoliopsida; Solanales; Solanaceae
Source: RefSeq, a predicted model, not a curated record